GAGUUUGAUCCUGGCUCAGGACGAACGCUGGCGGCGUGCCUAACACAUGCAAGUCGAACGGAGAAUCAGCAAUGGUUCUUAGUGGCGAACGGGUGAGUAACGCGUAGACAACCUGCCUUCUAGAUGGGGACAACGUUCCGAAAGGGACGCUAAUACCGAAUGUUGUAUUGAAUCUGCAUGGAAUCGAUACUAAAGGUGGCCUCUGAAUAUGCUACCACUAGAAGAUGGGUCUGCGUCUGAUUAGCUAGUUGGUGAGGUAAUGGCUCACCAAGGCGAUGAUCAGUAGCCGGUCUGAGAGGAUGAACGGCCACACUGGGACUGAGACACGGCCCAGACUCCUACGGGAGGCAGCAGUGGGGAAUCUUCCGCAAUGGACGAAAGUCUGACGGAGCAACGCCGCGUGAGUGAAGAAGGUUUUAGGAUCGUAAAGCUCUGUCUUCAAGGACGAAUGUGCAUGUUGUGAAUAAUGACAUGUAAUGACGGUACUUGAGGAGGAAGCCACGGCUAACUACGUGCCAGCAGCCGCGGUAAUACGUAGGUGGCAAGCGUUGUCCGGAAUUAUUGGGCGUAAAGCGCGCGCAGGCGGGAAUGUAAGUCUGUCUUAAAAGUUCGGGGCUCAACCCCGUGAUGGGAUGGAAACUACAUUUCUUGAGUGCAGGAGAGGACAGUGGAAUUCCCAGUGUAGCGGUGAAAUGCGUAGAUAUUGGGAGGAACACCAGUGGCGAAGGCGACUGUCUGGACUGUGUCUGACGCUGAGGCGCGAAAGCCAGGGGAGUGAACGGGAUUAGAUACCCCGGUAAUCCUGGCCGUAAACGAUGGGUACUAGGUGUAGGAGGUAUCGACCCCUUCUGUGCCGGAGUUAACGCAAUAAGUACCCCGCCUGGGGGAGUACGGCCGCAAGGUUGAAACUCAAAG
This 915-nucleotide ribosomal RNA is filed under the name bacterium enrichment culture clone PCP32. RNAcentral's name for it is "bacterial SSU rRNA". It matches the Rfam family "Bacterial small subunit ribosomal RNA", at positions 9 to 906 of the family's 1533-position model. The record is from RNAcentral.